AAUAUUCACUUUAUGAGUCUAAAGUUAUUAAUUACUUCAUCACAAAAUAUCAUAGCAAAAAAGCAAUUUAAUGCUAUAACUUCCUUUUAUGUUGUAGAUCAUUACAAUGUGCAAUUAUAAUGAAAAAUCUUAUACAUAAUCAAUCUUAAUGUUAAUAUUCUAUUCUAAAUUGUCUAAUAUUCUGUAGGAUAUAUAUUACUAUGUUUUAAAUUUUAGAAUAAUAAUUAUUAUUUCAAAAUACAUACAUAAAAUGAGAAUCACUAAAAGUCGGAAAGUAAUUUGCCAUUGUCAGUUUAAUGUCGGUAAUGGUUAUGACCAGCAAUAUUUAGUUAAUACUCAUAACAAACUCUUUGCUUGAGUGAUAAAAUAUUGUGUCUUUCUCACUGAGAAUUAUGACCCACUCAGAAAUCUCUGUGAAGACUCUGGACAAAAUACAGUUUUAGCCCAAAUAACUGUAUUUAUAAAAAUAUAUUCAUCUUAGCCAGAAAUGACAUCUUAUGCUUACAUUAAUUUAAUAGGAAGUAAGUUCACAUUGCUGUUCUCCCCAGAGAAUAUUCCACAGGAGUCUGUGUCUUAGCUUGAGUUCCCACACCGCCCCUGCUGGGUGCACAGGGGGAGAGAACCAGUGCUUCCUGAGGUCCCCCUCCAACCAGCCUUCACCGUCCAGGCUGGAAUCACCCACCCCUCCCCAAAGCUACCCUCCCCCACAAAGAUCCAGACCAGGUUUUGCUACAAGCGGUAAUUAGAACGUAAACAGAUGAGGAUCUGCGGUCACUGAGGGCUGGUUUAUGGCGGAAAUUCCCCACCGGAGAAGCAGAAAGGUUUGCAGCCUGGGCUCAGCCCCUCACAAGUUAUAGGACCUCAGACAGAUUGCCAGACUCCUCUCUUCCUCAGUUUCCUCUUAGGGUCAAAUGGGGAGAGUGGUACUCAUUUCACAAGCGGUGCUGUUAGCGUUCAUGUCUGUUCGCAAAAGCCAAUUGUUAAAUUUUCAGGAAUUUUGCAAGUCGUUAAAUACAGCUCCUGUUAAAAAUUAAAUUAUAAUUUAGUAAAUAAGUUGCAUUAAGUCAAAAGUAAUAAAUACUCAAAACUCAUCAAUUCCUAACUAUUUUACUACAUUUAAUUAUUAUCUGUGUUUUUGAGAUUAUUUUUAUCUAUUGUAUCUGGAUGGCGCAAAUAGCAUAUAAUGGUGGACUGCAAAUUUCUCCCCCACCUACGUGUUCAGUGACUCAGAUGGGCAGCUUGAAAUUGGCCAUGGUGGAGAGUAUUUACAGAUGGAAACUGGCAAGCACUACAAAUCAGGCUCUUUUUUGAGAGCUGGUGAUUAAACAUUUAUGAAUAGUCCGGUACCUGACUGUUCAUAGUGCUUUCAGGACUUGUCAUUCUAAAAAAUUACAUUAAAUAUAUGUUGUUGAACAUGCAAUAUAUUAUAUGUUAAAUAGUUGUGUGUGUGUAUAAAAACAAAAUAGCAUGGUUGGCACUGUGAGUUCUCAAAUAUGUCAGCCAUUAUUAUUUCUGAGUUGCAUUUAUUUCAUAAUCUAUAUUCUUUCCUCCCUUUCUCCUUCAGUCUUACUUUUUCCUUCUCCUUCUUUUGCUCCCCACCCCAAGCCGGAAGCAGUGGGUGUGGGGAGACACGACCAUAAAUGGAAAUCAUUCUCGACUCUUGAUUCUCUGUCCAGAUUCCCUCCUUCUAGCCUCUAUGACUGGACGUGGAGCCCCCACCAGAUAAGAGACUAGUGUCUGAUUACAUGGGUCCCAGGCCCCAGCAGUGAGCCAGCAGCAUGGACCCUCCACUGACCCCUGCUCUGCGGGUCCCCCAAGGGCGGCAGGGAGGGGCUGCACCGGAGUCUUCCUUCUCUCACUCUGCAGCUCUUAUGACCCACUCAGCCCAGAAAGUCAGGGCUGCUGCUCUUCGACGCGCUGCCUCCGCAGAGGACCCCGAGCAUCAGGGCGAGGGUUUUAGCAGUGUUCUGGAGAGGAGGCUCGGUUCCACCACCGGCGCGGCUGUGAACAGCAGCAGACGCUCUGUGAAGGAUGCACAUAAUGACGUGCUGAGGUUCCCGUCGGUCCUCGGUCCUGGAAGCUCGCAGUCUUCGCGGCCUUCUGUCUCGGGGCCUGGUCAAGAGCUUUGCCUGCGGUGAUUGUGGUCACACUGGCUCUGGUCUUCAGAAUCAGAUGUUCCUCCUGUUUGUCAAUGUGAUGACCUGCGUUGGCUCAUUUUACAGUUAGAAAUCCCUCUGCCCCGUGGCCUAGUUCAGUUUCAUUAAGGUGCCUUUUAAUGAAGAACUUCGAGAUUCAUUUCACCAUGUCUUGGCUGCGUUCUAUUUUAAAUUGUAGGUUACCAUUUUGCCCUAGUUCAAACUCACAGUAACACCUGAAUUUUGAGUUGCAUUUGAGCAUAUAGAAAUACUGAAUUGCUGUGGUGUAGCCACUAUAAUUACACUUUUAAUAAACAGAGUCAUUUAUAGAUUCCAAAUUCAGGGCAAACUUCCCAAGGCAUUCUGUGCACGGCCUUUUCACAGUCCACAGUGCUGGUCCUGUGCUCUUUAUGAUCAACAUAGUUCAGGAUCUGUAACUGGCUCUUUUAUUUAUGCCACUGGGGCUAACUUAUCUAAAUAUGUAAACUUGUAUCUUCAAAUAAUCAUAGAUAAAAUAAUGAAAUUCUGAGAUAAGACCUUUCUUUUAAUGACCUAGUCCCUUAAAAGUUAAAAAAAAGAAUCAGUUAAAUACUGUCGUCUUGACUUUGCUGCCCAAAUGGUCUCAGACAGGCUAUGGAUGGCGUUAACCCGCCAUCUGAGACGGUGUGGUUUUUAGGUUAGGGGUGGCCUUCCGCAGCAGUAAGUUCACUGUCUAACGCAGGCCCUGGUGUUGUCCAGCUGCACAGCAGGCGGCUCAAUGAGCAGAGGGCAGCUGCGGGGGCUGCCCUGUGGUCUCAUUGCUUACAGAGAUCUGAAAUAUGAACUAUCUUCUUGCAUAGUGAAGGAAAAUGGAAUGACUUCUACACAGAGUUGAAGAAAAUUCCCUUGAGUUUCGGGAGAGGGCCUGGGUAAAGAGUCUCGUGAAGAACAGGUGUUGCCGUGUGCUGGAGUGGUGGGCCACCUGUCAGGCUGUGGAACCUGCUGGGGACAGCUGGCUGCCUGGCACCUCAGGAUGUCGUUGAUUAAUACGUCACACGAAUUGCAUGAACACCAGGCUCGUAGGACAUGGUGCCCGGUGUGGGAUGAAGCUAAAUUAAAAACAAGGAUCUGUAACUGGUUUGUUCUGCCUGCUGUGGCCUAAUAUGAGAUUUUAAGUGUAUCAUUUUGGGAGUAAAAGUAAUAAGCCUUCCAUUUACUUAUCACUGAGUAAAGCUGAAAAACCUACUACUUUUUCUUUUAUACCAUGAAGAUCCAGUGACAGUAAUCUUUCAAAAUGUAAAAUAUCUUCCUCCAUAAAAUACAACACAGUCAAACAAUAUUCUACCCCAAAGCACAUCUCCCAAAUAUCAGAUUGUCUCCUUAGUAAAAGACCCUUCCAUUCUAACCCAGGAUUUGUUAUAGAAUUACCAGAAUUCAGUAUUCUGUUUCAUGAACGUAGCGUGUGUCCAGGGUUCCGAUUUCGUCUUGGGAUGCGUUUCUGUCCCUGGAAGUUUGCUCCUGUGUUGGAGGACAGCAGGUCGGAGCCAUUUGCAGCCAUCACAUAGCUUUUUGACGUGUGCUGUGUUGUCAGAGAUCCGUCUCCUGUCCUCACCUCUUUCAGACAGGCUGGCAAAUUACUCGUGGCGCCCUGCAUUUUGAAAUACAGUUAACAGACACGGAAGGAAGCACUUUUACAACUACUGGGAAAAUGUUGUAAUUGGUUAUGCUUUUCAUUUCCAAAGGGAAAGUACUAUUUAGACGUAGGAAAUAGGCUGAGAAAUACAAACUGAGCAGUGGGGGAAGCUGGAUCCGUGAGACGUGACAGCUCUUGGUGAUCCGCAGAGAAACUAGAAACCUCUUCUCCAGGAAGGAAGCGAACAUGAAAACAGCGUAGUUGUCUGUUUCCUUUGUCGGCUCUCUCCAGUUCUCAUCGGAAUCAUACAUGGGAAUUGUAAUAAUGUGCCAACAAUCCUGGAAACCAGAUGCAUCAUUGGUGACAUUGUCGGUUCGUGCACAUUGAUUGCAAAGACCACCCCAAAACUCAAGUCACAGGCUGAGGCUUUCCUUCUCCCCCUAGCAAAGGGCCAGGAGCCAGGAUCAGACCCUUGGGGUUCGGGCAGGUUGAGAAGGGUCAUUGCCAUCUACUCACAUGCUUUGUGGGCCCCAGUCUGGUCAGUCUGAGUCUCAAGACAGAAUCACUGGGCCUGCGGGGAGCAGCAGUUGGGGAGGAGAGAGGAAGGGAAAGGAAAGGGGGCCAGGCAGCCCGGGCCUCGCAGCCGCGUCCCUGGCGAGAGCCAGCCUGCCCUUGGAGGACGGAGGGGAGCUCCUGCAGGCCGCCCGAGGGGAGGCCCCUUCACAGUUUGCAGAACGGUUGUGGGCACGUUUCCCACUCCUCGUGUAGAUUAAACCCAAACUCCCAGAUGGAAGACCUGCCCCUCUCCACAAAGGGCUAUAAUCCACCAGCCAAUCAGUGGGCUCACCUGGCAGCAUCCGCCUAUGGAGACAACCAGCAUUCAAGAUAGCAAGCAUCAUUCGUGAGAAGUAACAUGGCAGUUUAAGGAGGUGUUCUCACUCAUUUGUCAGGUAAUAUGAUUCUACAGAAAUUCUGGUUCAUGCUGACGAAAUGCAAAGAUUAUUACAAUUAGAUAAACUAAAAAUAGUUCUAAAAAUGAAACAAGUUAAAAGAUGUUGCAUUCAUCUUACUAAGGAGAACAGCAGUCUGAGCUGUGUUCAAAGGAGGUCUCUUUUACAAAAGAAGGGGGAGAUAUGAAAAUAGAAAUCUGAGGGGCUGGCCCCGUGGCUGAGUGGUUAAGUUCGAGCUUCUCCGCUUGGGCGGCCCGGGGUUUCGCUGGUUGGGAUCCAGGGCACGGAUAUGGCACCACUCGUCAGGCCACACUAAGACGGCGUCCCACAUGCCACAGCUAGAAGGACCCACAGCUAAAAUAUACAACUAUGUACUGGGGGGAUUUGGGAAGGAAAAAAAGCAGAAAAAAGUGUUACUUUAAAAAAACAGAAAUCUGAGCAGUGGCUCACAGUCAAUUUUCUAUCAUUUGGAUGGAGGAUAAAUUGUGCCACAACAUCUAUCGUUAGAAAAGAACAUAUCCUGCCGGAAUUGGAGAAUGGGUAAAAGUGAUAGAUGAGGUGCUUUUGAAGAAAACGUGCUUCUGGAAAACAAAUGAGAGACAAUCAAUGAAACAGCUGUAAACAGUGGUUCUUAAGAUCCGGGAACCCGACCGACGUAAAUUGAAACUUGAGCAUAAGACGAAUAAGUGGGAUGACUUUCAGGCGAUACUCAUCUCAGGCUUUUCGCAGUCAAAUGACCAUAACUAAAUAACUGCUCUUUCAUUUUUCCAACGUGUAUAAAUUGGAGCUGCCAGUGACCUAAACUUGAGGUUAUUUUGUCUUUGUAUGUGUUCACUAUAUUUUAAAAGAAACAAUAAAAAUCUCAAAGAAAAAUCACCCCCUAACAUGAGGUCUCUUGGCCACCCAGAACCUUUAAGUUUAGAAACACUGAGCCAUCUGAAUUGAUGUUUAAGGACAUGGGAAUUUUUAUUGAUCUGGAAACUGGAUUCUGAGAUCAAGGCGAUGCCUUUUACUAUUAGUAGCUUCUGGGCUAACACAGGUGUGUCUGCCUGAGACUGCAUCAGGUGUUCAGCGUAGGAAAUGCUGAGCCCUUCCCUGUUUUUUGAGUUGGGCCCAGGUGACACCUUCCCUGGGCAGAGUGGACAUGCGAUUCUUCAUCACUUCCCCCAUCGUCUCUUGUCACAGCCUUCUCCCCUGCCACCACCAGCCCAUGUGGCCACUGGCGCAGCCUAUGUCGACAUGAUAUUAAGAGCAACAAAGAGUAAGAAGGAGCCGGCUCCAUCAGGGGGUGGGGACCAAGCUGCUCUUCACCACAGGAUCUACCUCCACUCUUGACCUGCCAUUGGCCUGGCUCCUUCUGGAUGAGACUGGCUGGACCAGAGCAGCAGUGGGCUCUGGGCCUCCCAGCCUUCUGCCAUGGGUGCUGGAUGCUGGGGGCGUUCCUUCCACACAGGGGUGCACACUGUUCCCAGCGUGGUUUUGAGAGGACUCCACUUCUCCCCACUUCCGGUGAGAGGGGCCUGCUGAGCUCACGUACAAGUAAAACCAGGGAACACACACAGCUGGUUGACCACCAGGAUGCUUGCCCUGCCCAAGAGCCCAGCAUUUCUGGUUAAAAAAAAAGAGAGAACUGUGUCUACAAAAUUGGCUGACCAAGACAAAUGAGUAUUUCUUUCUCAUUAUGGAAAAAAAGAGCGCCAGACUUCAAAUAUGCCAGUGGAGCAUGCCCGUGGUCACCAGAGGUGUUCUGAGCAUAAGGCAUUUGCACCUUGAUGCACCUGCAUUGUGUAGCUCAGUUGACUGCUGAGAUGACUGAAACAAUGGAUUUCUCAAACUGUUUUCCAAACAUAAAUGGUUCAAAAAGGGGGAAAAAAGUCCCCUUUUUCUCAUAAGCAAGAAUAUUUUGCAUUCCUCAGACUUAAAUUGAUCCCAAUCUAUUUUCUAUUCAUCUAGGCCAUUCAUUUGGCAAAGGAUCAUUUACUAAUACACCAUGAAGUAUGGAAGGAAGGGAUGAAUAAUGAAGUGAAGACAACUGAUAUCAUACCCCAUAAUAUCCAUAGUAGAAAUUAUAAAAGUCACA
Molecule: long non-coding RNA, 6777 nt
Organism: Equus caballus (horse)
Lineage: Eukaryota; Metazoa; Chordata; Mammalia; Perissodactyla; Equidae
Source: Ensembl